UGGUGGGUUGCCUUGUCAGGUUGAUUCCGGUAACGAACGAGACCUCAGCCUGCUAAAUAGUCUCAGUUGCUUUUUGCAGCUGGCUGACUUCUUAGAGGGACUAUUGGCGUUUAGUCAAUGGAAGUAUGAGGCAAUAACA
Molecule: ribosomal RNA, 139 nt
Filed under: uncultured eukaryote
Lineage: Eukaryota
Description: partial 18S ribosomal RNA
Rfam family: Eukaryotic small subunit ribosomal RNA
Source: RNAcentral